GGGGGGGGGGGGGGGGGGGCGGGAGGGGGGGGGGUCGGGCGGAGGGGGGGGGCUUGCUCCGGGGUUCAGCGGCGGACUGGUGGGUAAUGCCUAGGAAUCUGCCUGGUAGUGGGGGAUGACGUCCGGAGACUGGCGCUGAUACCGCAUACGUCCUAGGGAGAAAGUGGGGGAUCUUCGGACCUCACGCUAUCAGAUGAGCCUAGGUCGGAUUAGCUAGUUGGUGGGUGAAAGGCCUACCAAGGCGACGAUCCGUAACUGGUCUGAGAGGAUGAUCAGUCACACUGGAAGUGAGACACGGUCCAGACUCCUACGGGAGGCAGCAGUGGGGAAUAUUGGACAAUGGGCGAAAGCCUGAUCCAGCCAUGCCGCGUGUGUGAAGAAGGUCUUCGGAUUGUAAAGCACUUUAAGUUGGGAGGAAGGGCAGUAAGUUAAUACCUUGCUGUUUUGACGUUACCAACAGAAUAAGCACCGGCUAACUUCGUG
RNAcentral lists this ribosomal RNA (483 nucleotides) under uncultured bacterium. Its description in RNAcentral is "partial 16S ribosomal RNA". It matches the Rfam family "Bacterial small subunit ribosomal RNA", at positions 38 to 507 of the family's 1533-position model. The record is from RNAcentral.